RNAcentral lists this ribosomal RNA (1494 nucleotides) under Escherichia coli. RNAcentral's name for it is "partial 23S ribosomal RNA". It matches the Rfam family "Bacterial large subunit ribosomal RNA", at positions 1 to 1532 of the family's 2925-position model. Lineage: Bacteria; Pseudomonadati; Pseudomonadota; Gammaproteobacteria; Enterobacterales; Enterobacteriaceae. The record is from RNAcentral.
GGGUUGUGAGGUUAAGCGACUAAGCGUACACGGUGGAUGCCCUGGCAGUCAGAGGCGAUGAAGGACGUGCUAAUCUGCGAUAAGCGUCGGUGAGGUGAUAUGAACCGUUAUAACCGGCGAUUUCCGAAUGGGGAAACCCAGUGUGUUUCGACACACUAUCAUUAACUGAAUCCAUAGGUUAAUGAGGCGAACCGGGGGAACUGAAACAUCUAAGUACCCCGAGGAAAAGAAAUCAACCGAGAUUCCCCCAGUAGCGGCGAGCGAACGGGGAGGAGCCCAGAGCCUGAAUCAGUGUGUGUGUUAGUGGAAGCGUCUGGAAAGGCGUGCGAUACAGGGUGACAGCCCCGUACACAAAAAUGCACAUAUUGUGAGCUCGAUGAGUAGGGCGGGACACGUGGUAUCCUGUCUGAAUAUGGGGGGACCAUCCUCCAAGGCUAAAUACUCCUGACUGACCGAUAGUGAACCAGUACCGUGAGGGAAAGGCGAAAAGAACCCCGGCGAGGGGAGUGAAAAAGAACCUGAAACCGUGUACGUACAAGCAGUGGGAGCCUCUUAAUGGGGUGACUGCGUACCUUUUGUAUAAUGGGUCAGCGACUUAUAUUCUGUAGCAAGGUUAACCGAAUAGGGGAGCCGAAGGGAAACCGAGUCUUAACUGGGCGUUAAGUUGCAGGGUAUAGACCCGAAACCCGGUGAUCUAGCCAUGGGCAGGUUGAAGGUUGGGUAACACUAACUGGAGGACCGAACCGACUAAUGUUGAAAAAUUAGCGGAUGACUUGUGGCUGGGGGUGAAAGGCCAAUCAAACCGGGAGAUAGCUGGUUCUCCCCGAAAGCUAUUUAGGUAGCGCCUCGUGAAUUCAUCUCCGGGGGUAGAGCACUGUUUCGGCAAGGGGGUCAUCCCGACUUACCAACCCGAUGCAAACUGCGAAUACCGGAGAAUGUUAUCACGGGAGACACACGGCGGGUGCUAACGUCCGUCGUGAAGAGGGAAACAACCCAGACCGCCAGCUAAGGUCCCAAAGUCAUGGUUAAGUGGGAAACGAUGUGGGAAGGCCCAGACAGCCAGGAUGUUGGCUUAGAAGCAGCCAUCAUUUAAAGAAAGCGUAAUAGCUCACUGGUCGAGUCGGCCUGCGCGGAAGAUGUAACGGGGCUAAACCAUGCACCGAAGCUGCGGCAGCGACACUAUGUGUUGUUGGGUAGGGGAGCGUUCUGUAAGCCUGUGAAGGUGGCCUGUGAGGGUUGCUGGAGGUAUCAGAAGUGCGAAUGCUGACAUAAGUAACGAUAAAGCGGGUGAAAAGCCCGCUCGCCGGAAGACCAAGGGUUCCUGUCCAACGUUAAUCGGGGCAGGGUGAGUCGACCCCUAAGGCGAGGCCGAAAGGCGUAGUCGAUGGGAAACAGGUUAAUAUUCCUGUACUUGGUGUUACUGCGAAGGGGGGACGGAGAAGGCUAUGUUGGCCGGGCGACGGUUGUCCCGGUUUAAGCGUGUAGGCUGGUUUU